AGUGAACGCUGGCGGUAGGCCUAACACAUGCAAGUCGAACGGCAGCACAGUAAGAGCUUGCUCUUACGGGUGGCGAGUGGCGGACGGGUGAGGAAUACAUCGGAAUCUACUUUUUCGUGGGGGUUAACGUAGGGAAACUUACGCUAAUAUCGCAUAUGACCUUCGGGUGAAAGCAGGGGAUCUUUGGACCUUGCGCGAUUGAAUGAGCCGAUGUCGGAUUAGCUAGUUGGCGGGGUAAAGGCCCACCAAGGCGACGAUCCGUAGCUGGUCUGAGAGGAUGAUCAGCCACACUGGAACUGAGACACGGUCCAGACUCCUACGGGAGGGAGCAGUGGGGAAUAUGGGACAAUGGGCGCGAGCCAGAUCCAGCCAUACCGCGUGGGUGAAGAAGGCCUUCGGGUUGUAAAGCCCUUUUGUUGGGAAAGAAAAGCAGCAGGUUGAUACCCCGCUGUUCUGACGGUACCCAAAGAAUAGGCACCGGCUAACUUCGUG
RNAcentral lists this ribosomal RNA (492 nucleotides) under uncultured bacterium. Its description in RNAcentral is "partial 16S ribosomal RNA". It matches the Rfam family "Bacterial small subunit ribosomal RNA", at positions 29 to 507 of the family's 1533-position model. The record is from RNAcentral.